CAGUUUGUCCUUUAGAUACAUAUUUAUUAUCAAUUGAGACAAUUUCAUGAUAAACUUAGCGUUAUGUGAAUAAAAAAACACAUAUAUCACUAGACUAGUUUCCCAAAGAGAAAACAACAAAUAAAACUGCUAAAAAGGCAGCUUUAGAAAGAGUAGAGAAUGGGAUACCAUAUUUUCCCUUCUCAAACAUGCCUUUCAGAAAUGGAAAGAACAACGUAACCACCAAAACACAUCCACAAGCCUCGGCCAAACCCGAACCACCUUCUUUGUGACUAUGACCUAACCGUUGAAGACCCGCCGACCAACCGGCUAGAGCGGCUAGAUUCACUAACAUGAUAAAUGUGCCAGGCAAAAAAUAGAGGGAGUCACCAAAUUCAAAUUUCCCGGAAUCUUGGUCUGGACAAUCAGCUUUUGAUCCGGAUCUAGAUUCUGACCUUGUCUCGGGCAUAGUCUUUUUAGUGACAACGAAGACGGUUUUCGAAGUUCCAAGAAACUUGAGUAUGAUAUCAGGGAUACUAAAUAACCAACCGCAGGUGAUUUUUAUCCUUCCAAAUGAUUGGGAGAUAAACCACGAUUGAAAGGUGAAACCAAGGAUCAUAAAUUCCCAUAGAGUGUAAAGGCAAUAUAUCCCCACAACGGCGAUGAUAACACCUAAAUAAACUCCCUAAAGCCAUAAACAAAAUAAAAACAUUAAAAUUUUCACCCUAGAUUAAUUAUACGAUAUAAGUAUAUAACUAUUCUAAUAAGGAGGCUAUCUAUAAUUGAAAGUAUGAGAUAGAUCGAGAUAAAUUAAUUAUCUACUGAUAUAAUGGAUCAUCAUCGCCUUUGGCCCUUGGUCAUUUACUCAAUUUGAAAUUUGGCUAAUGAGGUAGAGAAAGAAAGAGAGUUACCUUGGGAAAUAAGGCAGAGUUGUGGAGUAGACAAUAAGCAGGCAAUAGACAAUAGAAGAGCUCAGGGAUUGACCUUAGACCCCAAACGAGAACGUAAAGAUAAGCCAAGCAUUGUCGGAAUCUUAGUUUUCGGA
RNAcentral lists this long non-coding RNA (1024 nucleotides) under Capsella grandiflora. RNAcentral's name for it is "long non-coding RNA (CGRA_LNC000387)". The record is from RNAcentral. Lineage: Eukaryota; Viridiplantae; Streptophyta; Magnoliopsida; Brassicales; Brassicaceae.